Molecule: long non-coding RNA, 205 nt
Filed under: Linum usitatissimum (flax)
Lineage: Eukaryota; Viridiplantae; Streptophyta; Magnoliopsida; Malpighiales; Linaceae
Description: long non-coding RNA (LUSI_LNC008063)
Source: RNAcentral
UUUUUUGUGGGUUUUCAAUUUUUGAAAAGAGAUUUUAUGUUAUUAGCUUUUAGGUAUUAAUUAGUUCAUCUUAAACAAUUAAACCUAUAUAUAAAGAGCCAAACAAUUGCAUAGUUUAUUAGCGGGAAGUAUCACGUGUUACCAAACCCAAUUUUACAUUGUGCAAUUGCAUUUUGAUUGGUUAUUAAGAGUUGGCCAACUAUCA